Molecule: long non-coding RNA, 595 nt
Organism: Dendroctonus ponderosae (mountain pine beetle)
Lineage: Eukaryota; Metazoa; Arthropoda; Insecta; Coleoptera; Curculionidae
Exons: 3
Source: RefSeq, a predicted model, not a curated record
UUGGCGCUUCUGCUUUCGCUUGAAGGAUAUAAGAGUCUGUGUAAAAUUAAACGUUUCUCAAUUUUUUCGGGGUUUUAGAGCAACGUGGAAAAUAAUUUUCGAAGACGUUUCGAAAGCACGUGCUUCGGGCAAAACUUCAAGAGAAAGUAGUUUGAAACAAUGGACAAAACUCCUUUAAUCUUUUGAUUCAAGAGAAAGCCGAUGAAUACAAAAAGUACCAAUUUAUAAUCGUCUCUUCAGGUGAAAGCAGCCGUUGAUUUUGCUCAAUAAAAACGGCAGGAAGGAAGCAAGCAAAACAGCCCAGAUUAAAAACCCAAACCAGACCAGACAUUUUCACUUGGAUUUUCUGCAGCAAUUCGAGACGGUAAUUUUGAAACAACUCAGUUUUGAAAUCAGCGACGGAAGAAAACUUUUUAAAGGCUCAUGGCUGAAGGCGCAAAAAACCACUAAAAAACUAAAAAAAAGUAGACCCAAUAAAAUCAGUUCUAAACAACCAAAUAAACGAAAUUGCUAUGUAUCAAAACACAAAAUACACGCAAAAACUUGGAACAAAUAACUGAAUUCAACGGUGUUUACAACCAAAAAUCAACAUUUU